This 466-nucleotide ribosomal RNA is filed under the name uncultured Desulfobacterium sp. RNAcentral's name for it is "bacterial SSU rRNA". It matches the Rfam family "Bacterial small subunit ribosomal RNA", at positions 920 to 1382 of the family's 1533-position model. The record is from RNAcentral. Lineage: Bacteria; Pseudomonadati; Thermodesulfobacteriota; Desulfobacteria; Desulfobacterales; Desulfobacteriaceae.
CCCGCACAAGCGGUGGAGCAUGUGGUUUAAUUCGACGCAACGCGAAGAACCUUACCUGGGUUUGACAUCUUGGGAAUCUUUUAGAAAUAAGAGAGUGCCCCGCAAGGGGAGCCCGAAGACAGGUGCUGCAUGGCUGUCGUCAGCUCGUGUCGUGAGAUGUUGGGUUAAGUCCCGCAACGAGCGCAACCCUUAUCUUCAGUUACCAUCAUUAAGUUGGGGACUCUGGAGAUACUGCCCCGGUUAACGGGGAGGAAGGUGGGGAUGACGUCAAGUCCUCAUGGCCUUUAUAUCCAGGGCUACACACGUGCUACAAUGGUCCGUACAAAGGGUUGCAAGCCUGCGAGGGUGAGCCAAUCCCAUAAAGCGGAUCUCAGUUCGGAUUGGAGUCUGCAACUCGACUUCAUGAAGUUGGAAUCGCUAGUAAUCGUGGAUCAGCAUGCCACGGUCGAAUACGUUCCCGGGCCUU